UUGGACGCUUGGCAAAGCCCUUCUGGGGGAGCCCUAGUGCCUGGCAUGAGCGGAGCGGGCUUCCAGGGAGGCAUUCACCCGGUCAGCGUCAGGAACCAUCCUAACUGAGGCCUCGUGUCUUUUACUCCGUGUUCCCAGGCUCCCUCUUUCCCUUCGGUCGACGUGGGUGUGCCGGACGCCUCUGGCAGGACUAACCCCGUGGCUUUUAUGUCCAACGUGCUGUGCUGCGUGUGCCUGCAGUAUCCUGUCCAAGACCAAGCUACCUUUCCUUGUGGGAAUGGACUGGCCGGGCUUUGGCAGUCUGGCCCCUCGAAAGACUAAAGUGACCUCUUCCAGCAGGGGAAGACUUUCUGGCAAGCGGUGCCAGAAAGAACUGGAGUUUCUGGAGAAUGAAAGCUGGAGGCGUGCCCCCGAUAAUCCUCGCCCC
Molecule: long non-coding RNA, 427 nt
Organism: Pseudopipra pipra
Lineage: Eukaryota; Metazoa; Chordata; Aves; Passeriformes; Pipridae
Exons: 3
Source: RefSeq, a predicted model, not a curated record